RNAcentral lists this ribosomal RNA (327 nucleotides) under uncultured eukaryote. RNAcentral describes it as "partial 18S ribosomal RNA". It matches the Rfam family "Eukaryotic small subunit ribosomal RNA", at positions 1470 to 1796 of the family's 1831-position model. The record is from RNAcentral.
CCCUUAGAUGUUCUGGGCCGCACGCGCGCUACACUGACGAUGUCAGAGAGUGUCUCCUUCACCGAGAGGUGUGGGUAAUCUUUUAAACAUCGUCGUGCUGGGGAUAGAUCAUUGCAAUUUUUGAUCUUAAACGAGGAAUUCCUAGUAAGCGCGAGUCAUCAGCUCGCGCUGAUUACGUCCCUGCCCUUUGUACACACCGCCCGUCGCUACUACCGAUUGAAUGGUUUAGUGAGGCCUUCUGACUGGCGCCGCUACUCCGGCAACAGAGCGGCGGAUGCCGGGAAGUUGGUCAAACUUGAUCAUUUAGAGGAAGUAAAAGUCGUAACA